CCUACGGGGGACAGCAGUGGGGAAUAUUGGACAAUGGGGGGAACCCUGAUCCAGCCAUGCCGCGUGUGUGAAGAAGGCCCUCGGGUUGUAAAGCACUUUCAGUGAGGAAGAACGCCUGGUGGUUAAUACCCAUCAGGAAAGACAUCACUCACAGAAGAAGCACCGGCUAACUCCGUGCCAGCAGCCGCGGUAAUACGGAGGGUGCGAGCGUUAAUCGGAAUUACUGGGCGUAAAGCGCGCGUAGGUGGCUUGAUAAGCCGGUUGUGAAAGCCCCGGGCUCAACCUGGGAACGGCAUCCGGAACUGUCAAGCUAGAGUGCAGGAGAGGAAGGUAGAAUUCCCGGUGUAGCGGUGAAAUGCGUAGAGAUCGGGAGGAAUACCAGUGGCGAAGGCGGCCUUCUGGACUGACACUGACACUGAGGUGCGAAAGCGUGGGUAGCAAACAGGAUUAGAUACCCCUGUAGUC
This 465-nucleotide ribosomal RNA is filed under the name Vreelandella stevensii. Its description in RNAcentral is "partial 16S ribosomal RNA". It matches the Rfam family "Bacterial small subunit ribosomal RNA", at positions 338 to 795 of the family's 1533-position model. The record is from RNAcentral. Lineage: Bacteria; Pseudomonadati; Pseudomonadota; Gammaproteobacteria; Oceanospirillales; Halomonadaceae.